This is a long non-coding RNA of Acyrthosiphon pisum (pea aphid), 801 nucleotides long. RefSeq lists it as uncharacterized. The record is from RefSeq and is a predicted model, not a curated record. The transcript has 3 exons. Lineage: Eukaryota; Metazoa; Arthropoda; Insecta; Hemiptera; Aphididae.
UCCCAAGUUAGGAUUACGUAAUAAGUGUUAUCGUGUACGUAAGAGAGAAUUCCGAUACGGCCGUGUGAUUGUGUGAAGCAGCGGUCACAUAACGUACCGCCACCCCUCCCGCCGACGCUUACCGUUCGCCGAUAACAGCACGGCGCGCAGGCCAAAACGGGUUGCUACUACUGCUACGAUAGUCCACUACUACGAUAAUAUUAUAAUGCUCCGAAUGUCGAAUGCUGCGAAUUCAAGAUCUCCGAUUAUACACAACUACGAAUGUAGAUCAAGCUACUUCGAUAUUAUCAAUAUUAUCAUUGAUAAACUGUAAAAUCAAUUGCUGUGAUGUUACUAUAAAAUAUGUUUGUGCCUGUUUGGUGUUUUUAAUUUUGUUUGUGGUUUAGUGAACGAAGUACAUAAUUGAUAUGAAUUUCGAUGUGCUAAUUCCUGAAUAUAAUAUACAGAAUUCGGAUGUUCCGAGUUACCGUCAUAAAUUUACUUUGAGUUUUGUUUGAUGGAAUUAUAACAACUGCCCGAGCAACUACCCAUCAUGACAUAUCACUUGAACUAAUUCCAUUACUUUUGCAAACAAAAUCUGAAAUAGGUAAUGGUAAAGAACAACUCAAAUGUUAAAAAAAAUAAAAUCUAGAAGAAGGAACCUUCGAAACUCUGAUUCAAAACGUUGUGCCCAUAGUUGUAUGGAUGGUAAUGCAUUAAGACAUAUUUAUCACCAACACCAGCAACUAUUGAAUACAAUUAUUAUAAUUUUUUCUAAUCAUAAAUAAAUACUGUUUUAUUUUACUGCAUUGUAUAUUUAUA